GCCCGCCAGAGAAUUACAAGCAAACGCUUCAAACCCAAAGGACUUGACGGUGUCCCAUACCAACCUAGAGGAGCCUGUCCUAUAACCGAUACCCCACGCUCUACCCCACCCCCACUUGCACCCUCAGCCUAUAUACCGCCGUCGCCAGCUCGCCUGAUGACAGCUCACCACAGCCAACAAAACAGUUUACCACUAACACGUCAGGUCAAGGUGUAGCUAACGUGGGGGGCUGAGAUGGGCUACAUUUCCUACCCAGGAAUAACCAACCGCAAAAUGAAACAUAGGCCAAAAGGCGGAUUUAGCAGUAAGAAUGGACAAGACCUGCCACCCUGAA
Molecule: ribosomal RNA, 334 nt
Filed under: Pachydactylus punctatus
Lineage: Eukaryota; Metazoa; Chordata; Lepidosauria; Squamata; Gekkonidae
Description: partial 12S ribosomal RNA
Rfam family: Bacterial small subunit ribosomal RNA
Source: RNAcentral